GAUUCUGUGAGGUAUGCAGAACAGAAGGGCAGUGAGUAUUCAUUCCAAGUGGAGGAAAUGACAGGCAGAGAAACAAAGAUUUUCAUGGGAUAUCCCAGUGAGGAAAAAGCAGGGAGAACUUCAGGAGCACAGGGGUUAGUUGCUUCUAAGCCAGCUAUCUCGAUGAGAGUUUGAAGAUCUACAUUGAAAUCUUUUACCUAAGAAACUUAGUCCUUACCCAUAAACCCAGGAGAAGAGGGGGAGCACGCAUCGGAGCUAGUAAAUAUAGAAAAAGUCAAACAUUCCUCAUCAGGGCCUCUGAAGAAACCAAAGAAACCAAAAAAACACCAAGGGAGAAAAUGUCCACUGAAACACGUGCCUGCCUGGGUGUGAGGAUAUCCUAUGACAGUCACUGUCGCUCAGGCAGCUGCUCUGAGAGGUUGCUGUUUAGAAACACAAUUUCACAACAAAACCAGCUGCUCAUUAGGAAGCUGCUUCAAACAUUUUGGAGCUACCUAAAGACGUAA
This 506-nucleotide long non-coding RNA is filed under the name Pan troglodytes (chimpanzee). RNAcentral describes it as "lncRNA (ENSPTRG00000053338.1)". Lineage: Eukaryota; Metazoa; Chordata; Mammalia; Primates; Hominidae. The record is from RNAcentral.